Falco peregrinus (peregrine falcon) is the source of this 10924-nucleotide long non-coding RNA. RefSeq lists it as uncharacterized. The record is from RefSeq and is a predicted model, not a curated record. Lineage: Eukaryota; Metazoa; Chordata; Aves; Falconiformes; Falconidae. The transcript is spliced from 2 exons.
CAUGCACUUAACCACUUCACGUGCAGCCAGUGCUGUGGAGUAUUAAGGGUCGUCCCAGGUCGUGGGCACCUCUAUAAUACUUGAGAGAGUUUAUUUAGCAGAUAAGGCUCAUGUUAUUCUUUCAUGCUCACAACUUGUGCAAACCCCCUGACAAUUCACAGCCGAGGUCUCUUGACACCUGUGGAGAUCAGUAAUGCCAGGGUUCCAGCUUUUCAACCCUCUUGGACCAGGUUCUCCCUCCAUCAGUGGUUCUCUUUUGAUAGACUAGGGUGUAGUGGGCAUGGAACAGCAAAAGGCCUGAGUUAGCAAUCAUUCAAAUUAACACAAGCCUUCAUAUUGACUUCCAAGGCCUGAAGUAAUCCCAAAAAGCUCAGCAAAGAGGAUAUAAGAAGCAAAGCGUAGUCCUCCAUGAUUUGGAGGACAGGAGCUUUCUAAUAUGGUAAAAGCAAUCAGCACCAAAGCACCUUGUCUAGAGUGCGAGGGUUUUAAGUCUUCUGUUAAGCAGCCCCUCUUAUGCCAAGUAAGUGAACAUGAAAGCAGGAGCAUCUGCCAAAGCUUUUAAGCCAGAGGAACUGUUUGUUCUGAAUACUCAGAGCCUUCACUGAGGUCACUGAUCCAACCGAGCCUCACAAUCUUGCGUUUGAGAAGCAUCUGGCCAAAGGGAGCCCAUAAGCUGCAGAUCUGGGAUUGAGCUUGUCCCGGCUGUGAUGUAGACCAGAGCAAGCUGAGAGCUGCCGCCAUUACGCAUGUGGGACACAUCCCGUAGGAAGCACUGCCUGUCAGUGGUGGCUAGAAUGAACCCAGAUUUCUUCUGGUGGUAUCAGCCUAUCCCCAAACUCUUUCAAUGUAGGGACUGACUGGAAAUACCAAGGAAGAUGGUGUUGGAUAUGGAGGGUGAGCAGCCUCCAGUCCAGGUGCUUCACGUUCUUUUGGGCUCCUGCAGGCAAGAGAAUCCAUCCUCAUCAUUUCCCUGAAGGAAAGAGCAUCUGAAAGAGAGGAAGUUCUUAGAAGCUGGAGAAACCAAAGCCUUCAAACCUGACCAGUGUUUUUGCUGUCCCUCUGUGGAAGUCAUUGCAAAGAGACUUGCUGGCCUUCUGCUCUGGGGGAAGAUGUGUUCUCACAUAGUAUCUCAGUUCAUAACAAAAAAGGCUUCUGUACACUGAAUAUAAUAGCAGAUGAGAAACAGAGCAGAAUAGGUUAGGAGGCUGUGUUCAGCUUAAAACAGCAAAUAGUGUUUCCAGCCAAGCAUAAGGGUAGUCCAUAGUGUCAGCUGCUGUGUCUCUCCCCGAUUAACAGGUCAAGAAACCUCCAUUUUCCACAGCCCCGUGUUCUGCAGCGAGAGUGGCAACAUGCACUUCUGCAAAUGCCAAACCAGACAAGCGACGCUCGCUCACUGGCAGUGGUCUGGGCAUUGAUAUUUCUCAAUUAGGCAUUCAGCUCCAUCCCUGCAUGCUGAGUUUAGCAGCUUAAAACACUGUUGCCACCCCUGCCGCAUAGUUUGCUCUCAGAGCACGCUGACACAGGGUGUCCUCUCACCGCCCCAGAAGCAGGACAACAGCACAGGAUUUAUGGAGCCUGAGGGAAUGAUUUGCUGGAGCAUACAAUGUUGGCUUAGUGCCGCUACCGUGGAGGUCGGGGACGAAUCUGCCAUUGGCUUAUGUGGCAGCUGGGACUAUCGAAAAAAUGCCACCCUUGGGCUCUGUGAACUUGGGCUGCUUUCUCUAUCCCGCAGUAGAAUUGAAAACUUAUUUCAUCCAUAGUCCUGUGGAGAGGCUGGGCGGUAGAGAAGAGCUAUCCAGACAAGCGUCCUUUUCUUCCUGACAGCACUGUGAGAUCUGCCCUUUAACUGGGCUCCUCCACAAAGGGACAAAAUCACAACCCUUUAACCAGGAGCUUUUCCACCACAUAGAUUUGCCUCCCAGGUAGAAGUCAGAGAGCCACUGGUUGUCAGAACCCAUCUAAGGCCUCACCCCAAACUUCAGUUGAACUUUGCAACAGCUUAUCCUGCAUGGUAGUUUUUCUCCUUGUUUAAACAGGUACCCAGGCUCAAGCAAAAAGCGAUGGAAUCAAAAUCCUGGGAGACCCACUAUGCAUGACUAUCACGGUUUAAGCACCACUGUUGUGCUUUCUGAUAGUCAUAUCCAGGCAGUGUGGUGCUGGUAAGUAGAAAAAACAUCUGAAAAGAAUUUCAGAACUUAAGUCAUGCAACUCAAGUAAUGAAACAGCCAAGCAAAGAGCUAGAAAGGCACUGAAAUGAAGCCUGAAAAGUCUUGCCAAUGUCAACAGACAAAAUCUGCUGUGCACCCAGCCUUAACAGGAAGCAGGAAUUCCAUGCCUAGAGAUGUCUUCUGAACAGAAACUCCUGGAGAUGUAAGCUCUGUCAGAGCACUGGCCCUUGGAUGGCACCAGCCAACAGGUCUCUGGUGAGAUGGCAAAACGGAUUCCUCUGAAGUAACGCAUGCUGUUAUCUCAGAGCACAUUACAAAGCCGAGGUGGACCUGGCAUUUCUAUUGAAGUUCAAGUCAUCCUUGUUUCGGUGGAAAUGUAAUUCUGCAGCCCUUUAGUGAUUCUUCAGCUGUGGAGGUCCAGAGUCUAAGGUCAGGCCCUCAUAAAUGAGAAUUUACUCAUGCUCAGCUGACUCUGGUGUUGCCCUUUGAAUAGACACAUCAACAAUACGAGUUAAACUGCCUCACCCACUUCCACUAACCCCCUGCCUUUUUCGUACCAUUUUGUCAAUGCAAACUGGAAGUAGAGAUGACAACUCAGACCUGCCAGAGUGAACUUUGGCUGCAGUGUGAACUGUUUACCCUGGCCGCCGGGUAGUAUCACCCACCAGGCUCCAAAAUCAACAUGAACUACAUGAUCUGAUGGGCUUAGAUAACAUUCACUAAGAGCAGACAGAGCAACACUAGAGAAGUAAACCAUCAUACUCCGACUACCGCUUUGUGAAUUGCAACACAGUGCAGCUGCAAUACACUUCUCUGCCCAAAGAAAGGGGACACACAGCUUGAUAACUGAAAUCCCACUUCACCCACCUACACAAACGGGGACUGAGUCACGGGCCUAGAUGCUGUUACGUUGGAGUACUGGGGGCUGUUUGUAACACAAGCUGUCUGCCAGCACGUGAUCGUGCCUGCUUGUACUAACUUAAAAGAAGCUACACGUUUAGAAGCGUGCCCCCUUUCAGGCUACGUCUCUAACGCAGCAGCCUCCUAGCACUGCUCUUAGCGCUGGUCCCUUGCACUGUUCUCAGUCUGUCCUUCAGAACUCUGCCCAAUGGUCCCUGGAAAAUUUCCCGGAGUGGUUCAGCUGACAGUAGCAUUAAAAAUCACAGCAUGUGUCUGUAGGCUUCUUUGUAUCGAACAGUCAGAGAGAGCACACAGCAGAGACGUAACUGUCACAGCCAUGCUCUUAGAAGACUGCUUCUGUCUCAGGGUAUGUCUUUACCAGAGAUGACCAUCUCCAAGCAGACAGCUGCAGAUCUCACUCCAGUGAAAACCGUUUAUUCCCCUAACAGCUGUAGAACUUCAAGUCUGUGCUGCAAAAUCCACUACUCCAGUUCUACCCUUAAUUUGAGGGUCAUCCACACACAAAACCUCUUAAAUCUUUCCGCUGGCACAUCGAGAUAAAGAGUAACAUUAUUAUGAAUGCCAGUCACUGCUACGACAGCCUCCCUGCCACACUAAUUUCCCAGGACUGCCGUUGAACAGAUUCCUUGCGCUGUCCUCCUCAUCUUGUCCUUGAGAAUUCUGCCCAUUAUUCCUUGGAAAUUUUCCCAGAGCGGUUCAGCUUACAGCAGCACUAAGAAUCACAGCACAUGUCAGUAGAUGCUUUUGUAUCAGAUGUACUGAGAUACAAUGCAACAGAGGCUUGAUUAUCACAAGGUUAGCUCUGUUAUAUCCCUUCUUGGUUAUUAAAAAAAAAAAAAAGGAAAGGAAUGAAUAAAGAAAGAAGUCAUCAGCAAGAAGCCACAAACCCUUCCUUUAAGCGGUAACUAGGCUACCAUUUUUUGGAACUUUUCCUGAUAUAACAAAAGACACCAUGAAGACAGGAACUUUGGCAGCAGCGGUUUUGAACUCCACAACCCCUAAUCUUCCUCUGGUUUUCUAUGCAUGUGUCACUGGAAAUAUAAUCAACUUGCUAGGAAAACAGUCAACCUCCAAACAGCUAUCUAAGCAGCAGCAAGCCUCUGGAAGUGACUGCUGCUAGAACUGAAAGAAGCGAAGGCAGCCCCAAAUUCCUGAACUGAUGCAUCUCCUCUUUUGCCUGAUGACUAUCACCACAGUGACUGCAGGAGCUGCCACUGAGCCCUGGCUCUGUGGCUCGGGCCAGGGGUGCAGAGGACAUAGCGCUGGGAGGGAAGUGACUUGGGCGCAGGGACCAGUGAAGGAGAUGUGGGCUGUGGGACAGGGUGCUGGAAGCAGCCUUGGUGGUAGGAAGGAUGAUUUAAAAUGGGAAGAGGUGCAAGCGUCUUCACUGAAUACCAGCCUCAGAGGGCUAGCACAGGCAAAGGUACGGCAGGGUUAUGAGAGGAGUCAGAAGGUGAAGGAAGAGGGGUUGAGGCUGAGGAGCAUGAAAGAAGGACUUGACAGCAACGCAGAAAAUGCAGUUUAGCUGGAGCUGGGACAAGCUGAUUAAUUCCCCUCGACAUCAUUUGUGUGGACUGCUCCCUCUCCCGGGGAAAUCUUGCCAAAAAAAAUGAAAAAUAACCACAAUCCAAACCAUUUCUUCAAGCAAACAACGCUCCCACAGAGCUCACAGGCAGACAGUCCCCAUGCUUCAGGUUCCAGUCGGAGAGGGCAGGGUGUGAGACCCCCACGCUGCCCUUCCCAGUGCGUGAUUCCGUCCUGGCUGGAGGAGCCCAGGGUGGUCAGGCCACCACCGCAGGGCUAAGCACCGCUCCAGCCGGCACAGCCCACAGCCACCUCUGCUCCCUGCUAUGGCAGCACUGCCAAGCAGCGCCUGGACCACCCUCCCCUCCCAAACCAGCAGCUAGGUGCUUACAAGCACUUCUCAGGGUGAGCGUUGGAGUGGAAAUGCCUCUUUUCUGGGAAUUGGACAGAGAUUAUCAGUUCCAGUCAUGACUGCUGGUAAGGACUGACAUUUUUAGCCAGAGAAAUAAAUUUCAGAGUCUGUAAGUGAGAAAAAGGAAGGACAAUCCUGAAACAUACUCUUGUGGUGAGAAAUAAAUCACCACUUACCUACCCUUUACUCCUUUAGGAUACCAAAGCCCAGUUAAAAUCUUCGCAGCGAAGCUAGCUCAGGAGAUCCUGCAAGAAGAUUAGAACCAGCUGCUGGAAAAAUGGCAUGUUACAGCAGCCAGCAAAGAUCCACAUGAAGCAGCCCUGGAGAGGUGAAAGGCUCUGCUGAGCUUAGCAGCUCAUGAGCAUAUACCAUACUGGCUGAUACUGGUCUACAACUAAUGCCCCUUUAGCCUCUUCCUUCUAAAUCCUUGCCCAGCUGGAGCGGGGAGGGGGGGAAGAUCUCUGCUGUGGAAAAGUUACGGUUCAAAUACACACAAUUAAAAAUGAGAGAAGAGUUAUUUCCAUUUUACAGAGGGGAAAAGGGGGACACGUUUGCCUGUAAAGAGGAAGCAGUGGCAGAGCUGCCAAAAAACCUAACGCUUUCCAAAUCCCUGGAGUUUGCCCGAAGUCAUCCACCUUGUCGAGCUGCACGUGCUACGUCAGCUUUGUGGAAGCUUUCACCCUGGUGAUGCAAGGAAGAAAAAAAGCUUUGCUUGAUUCUUAGCAGUCUAUGAUGGUCAUCAUGUGAUACCACGUCGGGCAAUCACGCAUGCCAUCAGCAAAGGUCACAAGACGCACAGCCAUUCCUCUCGGCUUUACAGCUGCUUUCCAGAGCCAAGGCUCCUCCUUCUUACACCAGUUUGUGGUCAAGUGAAGCAGCACUCAUGCCUGCCGAGCACUGGGAAGCCCUAUGCGAUGGUCAGGCCCUGUAAGAGGCACACCGGUUUUUGUCUGCAGGCACCAGCAAGAGAACCGUAAUGGAUUUGCAAAAUCUAAUUAGCCUAAAUAGAUUCUUACUGCAACUGCAGCUUCUUGGCAACAUAAAAGGGAUACAAGUCUCACUUCUACAGAUAUGCUAGGUUUGUAUGGGGGGAAGAGCGUUUCCAAAAGAUAAAAAGGAACAGAGGAAGGUUACUGUUGCCCUACAUCUUCUGUAAGCUAGAAAAGGAAAGAGGUCUAAUUGUUUUACUGACCAUGGGAGUUAUGGCUACCUAAUUCAAGACUCAUAAUACAUGCACAGAAGUCUGCAUAACUAGGAAAAGCCCUUGUCCUGAGGAGCUUAUAGCUUUAUUAGCCUUACAGGCUUUGUUAGGCAAUAGGUGGUAUCAUCCUUGUUUUACAGAGACCAGGAGCCAGAGUUCAAAUGCUUCGGUGACUUGUAAGGCAACUCUAGUAAGGCAAGUGCGAAGGGCAACAGGAACAGGAGAAGCACUAAAUAUAAGGUGGAAAAGUUCAAGAGUAUAAAAAAAUACUAUCCGUUGCAGGCUUCCCUGACCAAAGCAGCCAAGCAGCCCGAUUCCCAGGCGCCCACGCUGCUCCCUUUCCCCCGAGGCUGGCACCACUGCCGCCGGGGCUGCGGCACGGGAGGGCAGCUGGUGCCUCAGGUGCUUUGCCACCAGCCUGCCUCUACCAGAGGUCACACACACAAGCUGGGUGGCUGAGGCAGGGGACAGGUCCCUUCUGCUUCCCUCGGCAUGCUGCUUCUGGCAGGGGCACUUCUCUCAUGAGCUCUGGAGAAGCGCAGCUCGCAGGGCGCUCACCCCACCGACACCUGCGACCACUUCUCCGCUGAUGAGAAGCAUCUGCGUACGCUUUAGAAUUGGCAGCACCUCCUCUCUCUUCACCUUCCUUUCUGUCAGCCAAUUUGACUUUCCGGAGCACCCAACCUCAGCCAGACUUUCAAAGCAGACCAGGGUUUGGGCACUGUUCUGCUUUCUUUUUCUGCAGAAGUAAAAUUUGCCUUCUGGGGUUCAGUUCGGGGGCACACAAACAGCUUUUAACAGCCAGUCAACAUCUCCUGCAUCUCUAAACACCAUUGUACCACUGGACUAGCUGGUCAGUGUCAGGGAAUGCUUAAACCUGCACAGAAGGUGACGCAUCAGGUCUCUUCUCUGCACUUUAAACUGGGUUUAGGAGAUCAGCGCCACUUCAGUCUGGCACCGCUCGGCUCUAUUCCCUUAAGGCAGCCAGUUCAUGUUUCUGUGCCCCAACGCCUCCAUCUCUUUGCCACCGUAACUGAUCCCCUUCAUAGAUCAUUUUGAUACGUGGUAGAUUAUUGCUGCAUUGAUCUCAGUCAUUUUUGAUCCAAAAAAGGGAUAGGCAAAAAUAAGAGUCCUGAAGUUUAAAGCCAUGGUUUCCGUGGGAGCAGCAAGCCAGGGCUGCCAGAGCAAGCAGGGGCGGCACACCCUGGACUGAGGGAAGGCCAGGCAGUGUUUGGUACAUCUUCCGCUGCUUGUAUUCCUCCAUAGUUUUCAUUAAGACUUCACAGAAAUGAAUCUACUAUUUAGAUAAUAAAUACCUUACGUUGUGGGGGAGAAUAUCAAGUAAACCAAACACGAGGGUUCAGUAUUCCAGAAAGAGAUGCUGACUAGGUGGCCGGGAUCUUCCAGCUCAUAGCAUGGAGGUGCGACCCCUGCGCACUGGUUUUUACUGGUUUUAAAGCGGCCCGUAGCAACCAAACAGGCAGAGCCAACUUGUUUUCACUCGAUUUUGGGAGCUGUAAGACCAGCCAGCAACCCCUCCCCCCCCAGGAACGCACGCAGCAUUCCUGAGGCAAGUGUUAAUGCUGGAUCUUGACCAAGAAACGAUUCCUACAGACUCAGCGAUGAGGAGGAUGUUACACCACUCGCCUCUUCCCACUCUUUUUCCCUGCUAGCCCUGUGCCUCCUGUACUUGCGCCUCGCCCGCUCCCAGGGCCUUUGGCACAGGGACGUGCGGCACAGCCUGUGUCCUUCACACCAGUGAUUCCGGCUUGUGGGAACAGCAGAAACUCAAGGCAUGGAUGAGGCUGGAAAAUCCCAAAGGAGAAACCUCCUGCAGGUGGAAUACAGAAGGAUUAAAACCAGCAAGAGCAAGCUAUUCCCCGAUUCCCCUUGCCGAGCGUUGCUCUGGCUUGGCUGGCUCCCUCCCGCCGGCUCACGCUGGUUGGGUGUUCUCUUCCCCCGGUACCAUUCAGACGCACUCCUGGGAUAUGACACGGUAAAGAGCAAUAAAGCGCCAAACCGCUUGUAACUAACACCGGCCGGUUCCUAAAGGGAUAUUCCUCCCUCGGAAUGUGAGUGCCACCUUGUGCUGGGAACAUAACAGUCCAUGGAUAAAAGCUUGUCCAGACCAGUAACCCAGAGAAGGGCGACAAGAAACCACCAUCUCCCGAGUGAAGCUGCACCGGCCGUUUGGAUGUUUGGGGACCUUCCGUGCUGGAGCCAGCCAGCCCCGUCCCAGCACCCUGCUGCCGGGUGGGUGCUGUGCGGGGGGCAGGGGGCUGCAGCCCCCCGCUCUGCAGGCGCGCGCCAAGCCCAGGCAGCAGCACAGGGCCUGGCCCAGCCAAGGGCACCAACAGCUACAGCUGGUGGGUGCCAGCUCUGUCCUCGGCAAGUCCAGGGAGAAACAAGGUGGCACCUUCGUAAAAUUUUGCCGAGUGUUCCCGAGGUCCCCGUUGGCAACAGCCAAGCGUGUAAGUAAUACAGGUGUGGGAGACGAAGCAGUGAAACGCAACAAGCAUUUACAGAGCAACUUCCAGAUGCAAAGUACUGCUCUCCUAAAGCAAUGCGCAGGUGAGAGAAGCCAGCUGGCUUGCUCGCGGGGAAGAAAAGCAGGGUUUGAGUCUCCUAUUUGUUUCUUUAAAAUUCACUUUGAGGCUUUUUCUCUAAAGAUGGAUUAAGUUUCAUCUGGUCAAAUUAUGUGAGAUGCCUCAAGCGAGUUUCUGAGAAUGCCUGCUUCUCUGCAGUGAUUUGGGGCGGGGGGGGGCUUUAGCAUCGUCAGCCUGAUGGAAAAGUUUUUCCGUUCAUUUGUUCAAAAAUGGGAGGUCGUUACUGUGUGAAAAUACAUGUCAAAGCUAAAAGAUUUUGCACUGCUGUUGAUCAAUUUAAAUUUAACCUUUCUAUAACUUGGAAUAUUUUUGCAAGCCGGCUAUAGCCUCAGAAACAGUAUUGCUUUGAGUUUUAUUCACUUCGGGUUUCUCCACGAACUUAAGAGGGGGAAAAAAAAAAAAAAGGCAGCUUCUGGAAAAUAUUUCUUUAGCAAGGUAGGAAUUCCUUUGCAAACACCUUGGAAAGGAACAGGGUGUGAGUAUCCUGUUCAUGACAACUGCUCACAGUUAAAAUCCAGUAACCUGAAUUUUGCAGUUAAGACUACAGCUAGGAACUCUACGGAUUGAAAGAGCCACAAGGACAACACCUUUUUCUCAAAGCAAAGGUGAUAAACCCAGGAAAUUCAGAUUUCAAGUGAUGUUCAAAAGAAAUCUGGCUGUGCCACGGAAUUGCAAUUAAAGCACACAGCUCUUAUCCCAAAGGGUCUCACACAAAGCAAAACUGCAAAGCCACACAUCUAAGCAGUCCGUCCGUCCCCAGCAAGACAGAGCUGUGUAUAAAGGUUACGCUCUGUGUGCAUGCUCACAAGGCUGAGUCAAACCAAGAGCACUAAAUGAGUCAUUUCCCCAUUAGCGAUUAACCACCACAGCUGCCUGUGGGCAGGGGGAGCACACCUCGGCUUUUUGACACUGCGCUCCGAGCGGGGAGGGAGGACCCUCCGCUGGAACUGCAGAGUUUCAGAGAUGUCAACCAGAGCUGAAUUUUACCUUCUCUCUCCCAGACUCCUGCCGUGGUCCUCAUGCUAAUGCUCAGCACCACCCGUCCACAUCGGCGUGAGGACAACCACGAGCACUCACCGGGAGCACCGGACCAGUUCCACAGUCCUAGACGCAAGCUCUCAGGUGGCUUUUCCAGUCUCCAAACACCUUUCUCCUCUCCCUGUAGACGUGCCGCUUCUGGGGCAUUUGCACCUUGCCUGCAUCUUUUUCCAGGGCACGUGCGCCUUGCCUGCAGGUCGGGUCAGCUGCACGGGGUGGAAGCGUGAUACUGGAAAAGCCCUUAAAGAAAGGGCCUGAAGAUGGAGUAAAACAUGAAACUCCCAGACGGAAGCGGUAAGCAGGGAGCGAGCAGAGGACCCUGUGACCCAAAUACUUCCCAGCAGGGAGGCACACCAUUUAAUCGGAUGCUGGAUGCCACUGACGUGGGGGCAUCCAUCCAUGUGCUCUGCCCGACAGCGCUGUGAGAAGGGCCAUGCCCAUACAAACUAAUUACUGAUUAGCCUAAUAACUCUAUCCUUAAUAUUUGAUUACAACACUUUUACUGACAGCAUAAUUACUGCCCAACCUAGCAGAGAAGCACCGCACACAAGCAGGCAUGGGACAGCCAUCAUCAUCAUCAUCAUCGGUUAGAUACAAUCUGCCUGUCCUCACUAGCUGACAGCACGGGCUUUCCCUUCCUCCCUACCACACACUCCUCAUCCUCAUCUCCCUGCCAGCCUCUGCAGGUCCUGCACGUCCCGGCCACCCUGAUACACCGCUCAGACCCAAGAAGGUCCAUCUCUGGCAGCGGCCGGUAAGGCAAGGCUGGCACAUGGGCAACACGUUCACACGCUCCUUUUACAAGCAAUACUCCCGGUUUCCUCAAACCGACCCGAGCUCAGUGGUGUAAACUCUCCGUUAAGUGACUACACUUACAAACACCACCAUCGGUGCUUCCUGCGCAUAGCUACAGCUUUAGAAUUGGUGUACUAUAAACCUAGAAAAUAUCAAUGUUUUCUGUAUUUCUUCUGCAAAGAAAAGGCUUUUAAGUUCUGGGGGGUUUGGUUGGUUGGUUUGUUUGUUUUUUAACAUAAAGAUGAGAUGCUACCUUUCA